This 256-nucleotide ribosomal RNA is filed under the name uncultured bacterium. Its description in RNAcentral is "partial 16S ribosomal RNA". It matches the Rfam family "Bacterial small subunit ribosomal RNA", at positions 524 to 776 of the family's 1533-position model. The record is from RNAcentral.
UACGUAGGGUGCAAGCGUUGUCCGGAAUUAUUUGGGGCGUAAAAGAGCUCGUAGGCGGUUUGUUGCGUCGGCUGUGAAAUCCCGAGGCUCAACCUCGGGUCUGCAGUCGAUACGAGCAAACUAGAGUGUUGCAGGGGAGACUGGAAUUCCUGGUGUAGCGGUGAAAUGCGCAGAUAUCAGGAGGAACACCGGUGGCGAAGGCGGGUCUCUGGGCCGAUACUGACGCUGAGGAGCGAAAGCGUGGGGAGCGAACAGG